GACGAACGCUGGCGGCGUGCUUAACACAUGCAAGUCGAACGAAGCGAUUUGGAGCUUGCUCCAAAUUGACUUAGUGGCGGACUGGUGAGUAACGCGUGAGUAAUCUGCCUUAAUCAGGGGGACAACAGAUAGAAAUAUCUGCUAAUACCGCAUAAGACCACAGGGUUGCAUGACCCAGGGGUAAAAGAGAUAUGUAUCGGAUUAAGAUGAGCUUGCGUUCUAUUAGUUAGUUGGUGGGGUAACGGCCUACCAAGACGAUGAUAGAUAGCCGACCUGAGAGGGUGAUCGGCCACACUGGAACUGAGACACGGACCAGACUCCUACGGGAGGCAGCAGUGGGGAAUAUUGGGCAAUGGACGCAAGUCUGACCCAGCAACGCCGCGUGAAGGAAGAAGGCCUUAGGGUUGUAAACUUAUGUUGUAAAGGAAGAAAAGAAUGACGGUACUUUACAAGAAAGCCCCGGCUAACUAUGUG
RNAcentral lists this ribosomal RNA (474 nucleotides) under uncultured bacterium. RNAcentral describes it as "bacterial SSU rRNA". It matches the Rfam family "Bacterial small subunit ribosomal RNA", at positions 28 to 507 of the family's 1533-position model. The record is from RNAcentral.